UAGGGAGACCUACCCGCAUUGAUGCUUGAACGCCAUUUGUUAUUAAAGCCAAUGUUGGUCAUCCCAAGGUCGUUCAAGGUUAAGUGUUGGCUUUCAAACUAGCUAGGUUUGGUUUAUGGGCUAUUAGCUCAGGUGGUUAGAGCGCACCCCUGAUAAGGGUGAGGUCCCUGGUUCGAGUCCAGGAUGGCCCACCUUUGAAAGCGGUCAACCAACAGUUGUUUCGCUCUAGUCUGUUGAGAUUGUAGUUUAGCAACUGAGCGUUGGUAGCUUUUCUGGGGGUUUAGCUCAGUUGGUAGAGCGCCUGCUUUGCAAGCAGGAUGUCAACGGUUCGAGUCCGUUAACCUCCACUGGGGCUAGAGCGUAUUCCGCUACUUGUUCCAGCAUCUCAUUUCAAGUAAGGUUGGAUUAAUUGAGAGAGACUGCUGGAAGAUUAUCCAGUUAGAACCUUGAAAACUGCAUAGUAACUUGUCAGGUAGAAAUAGUAGAUAGUGAAUAUUUUUAGUAGUGAUGCUAGGAGCUAUUCAUUAAUUACUGAAUCACAGACACCAAUGUAUAACUUUCUAAAAGUUAGAAAUAGU
Molecule: transfer RNA, 578 nt
Filed under: uncultured cyanobacterium
Lineage: Bacteria; Bacillati; Cyanobacteriota
Description: partial 16S-23S ribosomal RNA intergenic spacer
Rfam family: tRNA (bases 275-347)
Source: RNAcentral